UCCAAUAAGUCCUCUCUCUCUCUCUCUCUCUCUACAAUCCCGAAUUUGCUCUUUUUUGAAUUUUUGUGUCAUUAGGGUUUCUUCUGUUCGUGAGAUCGCUUGAUUCUCGAAUGUUCCGUCAAUCGGUAAUGUUUCCUCCAUUGAUCUCCGGCACGGAGGCGGCGGCGCCGCAACCGCAGCCUCCGCCGCCGGUGAGCUUGACCGAGAGCUCUAGACGGCAGCAGGUGGCUGCUUCUUCGCCGGCGAAAUCUCAGCCGCUCCAUAACUUUCCUCUCUCUGAUCUCAAGUGGGCUAUGAACCACACCAAUACCCACCGGCUUCGCAAACCCUCCGGCAAAUCCCCACUGCGCGAUGCCGGGAAUCCGGUGGUCGAGGAGAGAAAUGAUGGAGUCUCUAGUUCAUCUUCUGAUUCGAAACUGGGGAAGAAUAAGGGAACCGCCGACGGUGUGUCUGAUCUCGCUGCAGAUCGUUCUGAGAAGAAGUCAACGGUGGCGGAUGUUAGAUCCAAGAUCCUGAUCCGAAUUCGGCCAAAGGGCAGCGAUGACGCCGCCGCCACAUCCACAGCCGCCGAGAUCGAUGAGGACGUAUUUGUUGGUGAUCGGGGCUCCGAUGGCUGUCAGGAAACAGAGGAAUUUGCUCCAAAGACGUGGAAUCUGAGGCCAAGGAAACCACCCCCGAAAAAGCGUCCGAUUGGAAUUGGCGGCGGGAUGCUGAAGAGCUGCAGCGGUUCUGCGCAGGAGAACAAGGCUCAGGGAACGAUUCGGCCUGAGUCAACUCGCUCUAGGAACAACGCGGAUGCGAAGUUCGCAACGGAGAGAAAGGAGAAGAAGCGGAAAUUAGCGAUCUCGCUCUCAAAGACGGAGAUCGAAGAGGAUAUCUUCGCAUUGACUGGAUCAAAACCUAGCAGGAGACCAAAGAAGAGAGUCAAGAAUGUGCAGAAGCAGCUCGAUGUUCUCUUCCCGGGUUUGUGGAUGGGUAAUGUCACUCCUGACGCGUACAAGGUCUCAGAUCAUGCCUGAAAGGUGUAACAUUUGGUUGAUUUCUGUUACGCUUUGCAAUACUUUCCUGAUUUCCUGAUUCUAUAUCUGUUGUAAAUGUUGUGAUGAGAAAAGAGGUGUCCUCUUUCCUAUUCUGAUGUGAGGUUAAUCCGAUUGAAUCGGGCGAAAAUCAGAGAGGGGCAUCACAGAGGCUCUCCACUGAUUAAGCAUGCAGCAGAAAUGCAUGUGGCUUGAUACAUUAUUUACCCCCCUUGCUGAUGCUGAUUUCGCUUUCGAGAAGUCCCAGCUUCACCCGAAAGGGUCAUCAGAUCAAGCCAUAGAUGUAUGUGAUGAGCCGAGAAGAUGAACUCGUGUUGCAGCUCAGAGGUAAACCCUUCUGGCUUAAAGACAGCUUCAAUCCGAUCCAUUGCCAUCCUCUUCCCUUGCCCUUGGAAAGUUUCCAACUUCAAUGAAAUGGGGUUUCCUCAGUUGAAGAGAGAAGGAAUACGAAGGGAGGAAACAAAAAGAAUUUCGAUUUUCUAUGACAAAAUCUGGUGAAUCAUCUCUAAUGGGGUUUCCUCCUCAGUUUGAAGAGCCAUCGUUCUUCUUCUCCUAAUCCAGAAGUUGGUUCAUAUUUGGUUAUUGUUGUUUUUGGGUGGGGAAUUUUCUGAUCUCUGCAUAUGUUUUUGUCAAUAACUAAUUAGAUUUCAUGCAAAUCUAACAGGGAAAUUUGUAGGAAUCUGUCUAAACGUUCGUA
RNA transcript from Tarenaya hassleriana, 1734 nucleotides. RefSeq lists it as uncharacterized. NCBI's taxonomy places the organism in Eukaryota, Viridiplantae, Streptophyta, Magnoliopsida, Brassicales, Cleomaceae. The record is from RefSeq and is a predicted model, not a curated record. The transcript is spliced from 3 exons.